Molecule: ribosomal RNA, 516 nt
Filed under: uncultured bacterium
Lineage: Bacteria
Description: bacterial SSU rRNA
Rfam family: Bacterial small subunit ribosomal RNA
Source: RNAcentral
AGAACUUAGCAGAGAUGCUUUGGUGCCUUCGGGAACUCUGAGACAGGUGCUGCAUGGCUGUCGUCAGCUCGUGUUGUGAAAUGUUGGGUUAAGUCCCGCAACGAGCGCAACCCUUAUCCUUUGUGCCAGCGGUUAGGCCGGGAACUCAAAGGAGACUGCCAGUGAUAAACUGGAGGAAGGUGGGGAUGACGUCAAGUCAUCAUGGCCCUUACGAGUAGGGCUACACACGUGCUACAAUGGCGCAUACAAAGAGAAGCGACCUCGCGAGAGCAAGCGGACCUCAUAAAGUGCGUCGUAGUCCGGAUUGGAGUCUGCAACUCGACUCCAUGAAGUCGGAAUCGCUAGUAAUCGUGGAUCAGAAUGCCACGGUGAAUACGUUCCCGGGCCUUGUACACACCGCCCGUCACACCAUGGGAGUGGGUUGCAAAAGAAGUAGGUAGCUUAACCUUCGGGAGGGCGCUUACCACUUUGUGAUUCAUGACUGGGGUGAAGUCGUAACAAGGUAAGCGUAGUGCU